Paragonimus skrjabini miyazakii is the source of this 81-nucleotide non-coding RNA. The record is from the annotation of a GenBank genome assembly. Lineage: Eukaryota; Metazoa; Platyhelminthes; Trematoda; Plagiorchiida; Troglotrematidae.
GGCUUCAUAGCUCAGCUGGUAGAGCAUUCGCCACAUUUGGGCAUGUUGCUUUUGUCGCUGGUUCGAAUCCAGUUGAAGUCC